Pelobates cultripes (western spadefoot toad) is the source of this 353-nucleotide non-coding RNA. NCBI's taxonomy places the organism in Eukaryota, Metazoa, Chordata, Amphibia, Anura, Pelobatidae. The record is from the annotation of a GenBank genome assembly.
CAGAAAUAUACAUAAAUAUUCCCGAAACAGUGGCACAGGAGAGCAACUACAAACGCAUAGUUAGAUGGCACUAUACACCUGCGAGACUCCAAUCGCUGUUCCCCCAAACGUCCAACCACUGUUGGAGAUGCCAACAGCUCAAUGGCACGACUUCUCAUAUCUGGUGGACCUGUCAGGAGAUACAAACAUUUUGGAAGCGCCUCUCCAGCGUGAUCCAAACCAUCAUAGGAGAAACUGUUGCCCUUAACCCUGACACCUUCAUUUUCCUCCUACCGCCCCACACAGUGCCCAAGGACAAGAUACCUCUACCCCUACAUCUCAUCACAGCUGCCAAUCAACUGAUCCCACUGUUC